UACGGAGGGUGCAAGCGUUGUUCGGAAUUACUGGGCGUAAAGCGCGUGUAGGUGGCCCUUUAUGUCAGGUGUGAAAUCCUCCCGCCCAACGGGAGAAGUGCGCCUGAAACUGAAGGGCUUGAGUGCGAGAGGGGGAGACGGAAUUCCUAGUGUAGAGGUGAAAUUCGUAGAUAUUAGGAAGAACACCGGUGGCGAAAGCGGUUUCCUGGCUCGCAACUGACACUCAGACGCGAAAGCGUGGGUAGCAAACAGG
This 253-nucleotide ribosomal RNA is filed under the name uncultured bacterium. RNAcentral describes it as "partial 16S ribosomal RNA". It matches the Rfam family "Bacterial small subunit ribosomal RNA", at positions 524 to 776 of the family's 1533-position model. The record is from RNAcentral.